UCGAACGAUGAACACUUCGGUGGGGAUUAGUGGCGAACGGGUGAGUAACACGUGGGCAAUCUGCCCUGCACUCUGGGACAAGCCCUGGAAACGGGGUCUAAUACCGGAUACUGACCAUCGAGGGCAUCUUUGAUGGUCGAAAGCUCCGGCGGUGCAGGAUGAGCCCGCGGCCUAUCAGCUUGUUGGUGAGGUAAUGGCUCACCAAGGCGACGACGGGUAGCCGGCCUGAGAGGGCGACCGGCCACACUGGGACUGAGACACGGCCCAGACUCCUACGGGAGGCAGCAGUGGGGAAUAUUGCACAAUGGGCGAAAGCCUGAUGCAGCGACGCCGCGUGAGGGAUGACGGCCUUCGGGUUGUAAACCUCUUUCAGCAGGGAAGAAGCGAAAGUGACGGUACCUGCAGAAGAAGCGCCGGCUAACUACGUGCCAGCAGCCGCGGUAAUACGUAGGGCGCGAGCGUUGUCCGGAAUUAUUGGGCGUAAAGAGCUCGUAGGCGGCUUGUCGCGUCGGUUGUGAAAGCCCGGGGCUUAACCCCGGGUCUGCAGUCGAUACGGGCAGGCUAGAGUUCGGUAGGGGAGAUCGGAAUUCCUGGUGUAGCGGUGAAAUGCGCAGAUAUCAGGAGGAACACCGGUGGCGAAGGCGGAUCUCUGGGCCGAUACUGACGCUGAGGAGCGAAAGCGUGGGGAGCGAACAGGAUU
This 700-nucleotide ribosomal RNA is filed under the name Streptomyces sp. RNAcentral describes it as "bacterial SSU rRNA". It matches the Rfam family "Bacterial small subunit ribosomal RNA", at positions 62 to 779 of the family's 1533-position model. Lineage: Bacteria; Bacillati; Actinomycetota; Actinomycetes; Kitasatosporales; Streptomycetaceae. The record is from RNAcentral.